CAGGCCUAACACAUGCAAGUCGAACGARACCUUCGGGUCUAGUGGCGCACGGGUGCGUAACGCGUGGGAACCUGCCUUUAGGUUCGGAAUAACUCAGAGAAAUUUGAGCUAAUACCGGAUAAUGUCUUCGGACCAAAGAUUUAUCGCCUUUAGAUGGGCCCGCGUUGGAUUAGCUAGUUGGUGGGGUAAAGGCCUACCAAGGCGACGAUCCAUAGCUGGUCUGAGAGGAUGAUCAGCCACACUGGGACUGAGACACGGCCCAGACUCCUACGGGAGGCAGCAGUGGGGAAUAUUGGACAAUGGGCGAAAGCCUGAUCCAGCAAUGCCGCGUGAGUGAUGAAGGCCUUAGGGUUGUAAAGCUCUUUUACCCGAGAUGAUAAUGACAGUAUCGGGAGAAUAAGCUCCGGCUAACUCCGUGCCAGCAGCCGCGGUAAUAC
Molecule: ribosomal RNA, 437 nt
Filed under: uncultured Porphyrobacter sp.
Lineage: Bacteria; Pseudomonadati; Pseudomonadota; Alphaproteobacteria; Sphingomonadales; Erythrobacteraceae
Description: bacterial SSU rRNA
Rfam family: Bacterial small subunit ribosomal RNA
Source: RNAcentral